GGAAGACUGGAGUGCAGAAGAGGAGAGUGGAAUUCCACGUGUAGCGGUGAAAUGCGUAGAUAUGUGGAGGAACACCAGUGGCGAAGGCGACUCUCUGGUCUGUAACUGACGCUGAGGCGCGAAAGCGUGGGGAGCAAACAGGAUUAGAUACCCUGGUAGUCCACGCCGUAAACGAUGAGUGCUAAGUGUUAGGGGGUUUCCGCCCCUUAGUGCUGCAGCUAACGCAUUAAGCACUCCGCCUGGGGAGUACGACCGCAAGGUUGAAACUCAAAGGAAUUGACGGGGGCCCGCACA
RNAcentral lists this ribosomal RNA (294 nucleotides) under Listeria monocytogenes. Its description in RNAcentral is "partial 16S ribosomal RNA". It matches the Rfam family "Bacterial small subunit ribosomal RNA", at positions 635 to 927 of the family's 1533-position model. Lineage: Bacteria; Bacillati; Bacillota; Bacilli; Caryophanales; Listeriaceae. The record is from RNAcentral.